This is a long non-coding RNA of Neofelis nebulosa (Clouded leopard), 573 nucleotides long. RefSeq lists it as uncharacterized. The transcript is spliced from 2 exons. The record is from RefSeq and is a predicted model, not a curated record. Lineage: Eukaryota; Metazoa; Chordata; Mammalia; Carnivora; Felidae.
UGAAGACAGGGAUACCCAGAGUCGCUAAUCCCAGCCUCCAUCUCCCCUUAGAUCCAAUCAUUGGUCAAGUUCUGUCCAUGUCUCCUUGAGGAUUAUCUCUUCCUUUCUAUUUCUAUUACCCCUCACUAUGUUCAGGAAGUGGAUGGGGACCUUUAAUGGAAAGAGACGAAGAUGGAAUGGUCCUGUUUACAUUUGCAUCUUGAAUGACUUGGAUUUAUUGUUUUAAACCAAGUUUCCUGCCUGUAAUAGAAUCAUUAAGAGAGCUCUUAGUUUUUAUUGGGAACACAUGUAUGUUCAGAAGUGCCUAGUCAGAUGUGCUCAGGAGAAGGACAGCACAUUUUAAUCACAUCUCUCUCCGUUUAGUCUUUGGUAAGUUGCUUUAUCUGUGUACAUUUUGGUGAUUUCACUGUAAAAUGGGGCUGGUACAAAUAAACAAUUUCCUAAGGAUGUGUGAAUUAACCAGUGGUUAUAAAGAGCUUUGAAAUGAUGAUGUGCUAUCAAUGCUAAGUCAAAUUAUGAAAUUGCACCUUUGCAAAAAUGCUAUUGUGGAAAUAAAUGAAUCUGAACAUUGUA